RNAcentral lists this transfer RNA (75 nucleotides) under bacterium. Its description in RNAcentral is "tRNA-Thr". It matches the Rfam family "tRNA". Rfam says of the family: Transfer RNA (tRNA) molecules are approximately 80 nucleotides in length. Their secondary structure includes four short double-helical elements and three loops (D, anti-codon, and T loops). RNAcentral also lists the same sequence under 1 other name. The record is from RNAcentral.
GCCGACGUAGCUCAGUGGUAGAGCAGUAGUUUUGUAAACUAUUGGUCGUGGGUUCGAAUCCCUCCGUCGGCUCCA